AACAGGAUUAGAUACCCUGGUAGUCCACGCCGUAAACGAUGAGUGCUAAGUGUUAGAGGGUUUCCGCCCUUUAGUGCUGAAGUUAACGCAUUAAGCACUCCGCCUGGGGAGUACGGCCGCAAGGCUGAAACUCAAAGGAAUUGACGGGGGCCCGCACAAGCGGUGGAGCAUGUGGUUUAAAUCGAAGCAACGCGAAGAGCCUUACCAGGUCUUGACAUCCUCUGAAAACCCUAGAGAUAGGGCUUCUCCUUCGGGAGCAGAGUGACAGGUGGUGCAUGGUUGUCGUCAGCUCGUGUCGUGAGAUGUCGGGUUAAGUCCCGCAACGAGCGCAACCCUUGAUCUUAGUUGCCAUCAUUAAGUUGGGCACUCUAAGGUGACUGCCGGUGACAAACCGGAGGAAGGUGGGGAUGACGUCAAAUCACCAUGCCCCUUAUGACCUGGGCUACACACGUGCUACAAUGGGCGGUACAAAGAGCUGCAAGACCGCGAGGUGGAGCUAAUCUCAUAAAACCGUUCUCAGUUCGGAUUGUAGGCUGCAACUCGCCUACAUGAAGCUGGAAUCGCUAGUAAUCGCGGAUCAGCAUGCCGCGGUGAAUACGUUCCCGGGCCUUGUACACACCGCCCGUCACACCACGAGAGUUUGUAACACCCGAAGUCGGUGGGGUAACCUUUUUGGAGCCAGCCGCCUAAGGUGGGACAGAUGACUGGGGUGAAGUCGUAACAAGGUAACC
This 731-nucleotide ribosomal RNA is filed under the name uncultured bacterium. Its description in RNAcentral is "bacterial SSU rRNA". It matches the Rfam family "Bacterial small subunit ribosomal RNA", at positions 771 to 1501 of the family's 1533-position model. The record is from RNAcentral.